AGCUUAUUUAGUCAUUCACUUACUGAAGGAAAGUUUGGUUGCUUCCAAGUUUUGGCAAUUAUGAAGAAAGCUGCUAUAAACAUCUAUAUUCAGAUUUUU
Molecule: long non-coding RNA, 99 nt
Organism: Sapajus apella (tufted capuchin)
Lineage: Eukaryota; Metazoa; Chordata; Mammalia; Primates; Cebidae
Exons: 3
Source: RefSeq, a predicted model, not a curated record